ACAAGUACCGUGAGGGAAAGUUGCAAAGCACUUUGAAGAGAGAGUUAAAGAGGACGUGAAACCGGUAGGAUGGAAACGGAUAGAGCCAGCGAAGUCGCUCGUAUUCAGCCAAAGGCCUGGGGCAUCGGUGUGUCGGGUUGCUAAUCCCGCCUGGCUCGCCUUUCGCCCCUGGUUGAGGUGCAUUUGCGGGUGUUUGCGCUGAGACUUGCGGGCCAGCUUCUGGACCCGGGCCUAGAGGCCGUCCUCUGGGCGGAACUUGGGCACGGCGACGGUUGUUUGACCUGCUCGUACCACGGCUUGGCCUACGGACCGGGGCGCUGUCGUUGCUUCCGAGCGUUGGCAUCGCAUGCGAUGACUCGUUCGGGGGUUGCGGCUGUGUUUCGCGUUCCCAAGUCGGCUCUCGGUGUAAAAGCUGGUCACCUAUCCGACCCGUCUUGAAACACGGACCAAGGAGUUUAGCGUAUACGCGAGCCAUUGGGUGUCAAAACUCACAGGCACAAUGAAAGUAAAGGCCCAGUCGCUGGGCUGACAUGCGAGUUGGUGGGCUCCGGCCUGCCGAUGCAGCAUGGUCCCGUUCCAGUCGCUUGCGACGGAGCGGAGACAGAGCGUAUGCGCUGAGACCCGAAAGAUGGUGAACUAUUCCUGAGCAGGAUGAAGCCAGAGGAAACUCUGGUGGAAGUCCGAAGCGGUUCUGACGUGCAAAUCGAUCGUCUGA
RNAcentral lists this ribosomal RNA (715 nucleotides) under Paratylenchus tenuicaudatus. Its description in RNAcentral is "partial large subunit ribosomal RNA". It matches the Rfam family "Eukaryotic large subunit ribosomal RNA", at positions 344 to 909 of the family's 3401-position model. Lineage: Eukaryota; Metazoa; Nematoda; Chromadorea; Rhabditida; Tylenchulidae. The record is from RNAcentral.